AGCUUGCUCCACCGAAAGAAAAAGAGUGGCGAACGGGUGAGUAACACGUGGGUAACCUGCCCAUCAGAAGGGGAUAACACUUGGAAACAGGUGCUAAUACCGUAUAACACUAUUUUCCGCAUGGAAGAAAGUUGAAAGGCGCUUUUGCGUCACUGAUGGAUGGACCCGCGGUGCAUUAGCUAGUUGGUGAGGUAACGGCUCACCAAGGCAACGAUGCAUAGCCGACCUGAGAGGGUGAUCGGCCACACUGGGACUGAGACACGGCCCAGACUCCUACGGGAGGCAGCAGUAGGGAAUCUUCGGCAAUGGACGAAAGUCUGACCGAGCAACGCCGCGUGAGUGAAGAAGGUUUUCGGAUCGUAAAACUCUGUUGUUAGAGAAGAACAAGGAUGAGAGUAAAAUGUUCAUCCCUUGACGGUAUCUAACCAGAAAGCCACGGCUAACUACGUGCCAGCAGCCGCGGUAAUACGUAGGUGGCAAGCGUUGUCCGGAUUUAUUGGGCGUAAAG
RNAcentral lists this ribosomal RNA (508 nucleotides) under Enterococcus casseliflavus. RNAcentral describes it as "bacterial SSU rRNA". It matches the Rfam family "Bacterial small subunit ribosomal RNA", at positions 77 to 565 of the family's 1533-position model. The record is from RNAcentral. Lineage: Bacteria; Bacillati; Bacillota; Bacilli; Lactobacillales; Enterococcaceae.